AGACCCUGCAGCCUGUCCCAUUCGGCAGAAAGCUCCUCGCGUCUCUCAGCUCCCCCUUCUCAGAAACCUCCUGCCAACAUGUCUGACACCGAAGAAGUGGAGCAAGUAGAGG
Molecule: long non-coding RNA, 112 nt
Organism: Varanus komodoensis (Komodo dragon)
Lineage: Eukaryota; Metazoa; Chordata; Lepidosauria; Squamata; Varanidae
Exons: 3
Source: RefSeq, a predicted model, not a curated record